Brassica napus (rape) is the source of this 3603-nucleotide long non-coding RNA. RefSeq lists it as uncharacterized. The record is from RefSeq and is a predicted model, not a curated record. The transcript has 2 exons. NCBI's taxonomy places the organism in Eukaryota, Viridiplantae, Streptophyta, Magnoliopsida, Brassicales, Brassicaceae.
UAUCUUGUAAUACUAAUGAAAUUUUAUUUGAUUUUCUAUUUUAUCAAGAAACAAAAACUACUACUAUCAUUUAUUUAUUUUUCUCAGAAACAUCAACAACAUGAACCACAAACAAACCAAAAAUACCAUGAUCAAUUAUUUAAUAUAGAUUUGACGAUCUUUUCUACAAAACAAUACAUAAUACAUUGUUUCUUAACUAGAGUGAGUAUACUGGGACAUACAUUUUAAUCUAUCAUAACAGUCAUUGGCAAUGAGUAUAAUUUUGUAAGGGUUCUUGGUCUCUCAAUUCCACGUCUAUGUUUCUUCCGAUUUUUGUUUCUUAUAAUUUCACGUUUCUGUUCAUGGUCUUCCUCAUACACAAGCUGAAAUUGACUUGUAGUUAUUUGUUUAAAUUUUCAGAGAUCCAUCACAAAUCACCAACGUUGCAAGCUAAGUUCGUUUACUUUAAAUUUGGCAUGAACCAUGGCUAGUCUGACUCUAAAGAAAUGAUAGAUGAGAUGUUACUACUUUCAUACGAUCUGAGUCUUGCUUCAGAAUACAACUUUGAUCUUGGUUUAUCAGACCAAUAUGGUGCACAACCACCAAGUGGUAGGUGUUAGGCUACCCGUGAAAAUAGGUUAUUGGUGGGUCACUAUUUCCAAGUUAAUCCUAUGUCAAGUAUGAUAAUCCAGGAUUUAAGUAGAAUUUGAGAGUUAUACAAUUUUCCUGCUUUGGUUAUACUUAGGGUUCCUGGAAAUUAUGAGAGAGAUGACAGUCCAUGCCCAAACAAGAUUAUAGUCUACGAGACUUAUUUUUCCUCAUGUUUAUGGGAAGCUAUACCUUCUCUGAUUGUUGAAGUUGUUAGCUUCUUCAACAUUUCCCCUAGACAAUUUAAUCUUUCAGCUUGAAGGAUGUUAACUUCUAUCCAAGUUUUUGGUGAAUUACAUUCUCACGAGUUGGAUGAAAUAACUUUUUUAUGCCCAUUAUUUUAGAUCUCAUAAUGUCUUAACAAAAAAUUUAAGAUAUGCAUGGAGUUGAUUUUUUUUAUAUACAUUAUAAAUGUUUUUUAUUUAAAUAAUAUGUUUAUAAAAGAAACAAAGAAUUAUUUAUUUGCGUGGAUAUUCAUUUAGUUCAGAAAAAUAUUAUUAGUUACGAACUUCAUUAUAUAAAGUUCAUAUAAUGAAAUCUCAAAUCAUAUGUUUAUUAAUAACUAUGACUAAUGUAAUUUUUUUCUUUAAAAAAUAUAUAUAUCAAUACAAUACUAAAAGUUGAAUAAGAUCAACAAAGAGGGUGUCCACGUCAGAUCAAAAAAUCAACCAAUCAGAAAGUAGUAUACCGCCACGUCAUGCUGCAGUCAAACAUAAUCAUAUCGGUCCUAUUUAUUUGGGCUUAUAAUAAUCUUCCGAUACAGUUCAUCUAUCCUCCAAAAAAGAAAGCAAUCGUUCUCCAACUUUUGCACUUCUCCAUUAUCGUUCCAAAUCUCUAAAAUUUCGCCGUUUCUGACUCACUCAUUAUACCUGUGUCAUCCUUCCCCCUCCGUUUGUUUCUCUUCCUAUAUAAAUCCUUUCGUCGUAAUCUUUCGUCCAACAAAAAAUCUACAACCUCCAUAGAAGAACAUCAAGCUAUGGCCAUGAAAGCUGUUAAAUCCUUCAGAAAGUUUUCCGUUUGGGCUCCUCCGUCUAUAGAUCCUUCUGAUCGGGUGUGUCCUAUCCUUUUUAUAUUUUUAGGUUUCAGUUCUAUGGAGAUAUAUUUUUUUUUUUUUGGUAAUCUCUAUGGAGAUAUUUAUUUGAUAAUAAUCAUCAAUCAUUGUAGAAUUGUGAGAUUUGAAUAUGCAUUGACUGGAAUCAUAGAUGUUUUUUUCACAGAGAAACUCUCAGGAAAGUUUAAGAGUUAUUGGAUUGAACCAUUUUGAUUCAAAACAAAAUUCAACUAAACCUCAAUACUUUUAUAAAUGUUUCUCCGAUAAAUAAAAGAGGAGGUGGAAGACAAGAUUAAGAAGCUUGAGGUUGAGAUAUAUGCAAAUACAAAAACAAGACCUGGUACUUCUCUAGAAGCUGUCGAAGCCCGUGUGAUGAGGGUUCUGAAGCAGAACAAAAUGUCUUUCAAUUCGGUGGCCUGGAAUUCUAACGGGAAAAGCUUGCUUCUGGCUCUGUUGAUCAAAUGGGUCAUAUUUGGAAAGUCAAACCUCACGCUUAGGUAGUUUUUUUGCCUUUUUGCUGGAUAUGUUUCAGUCUUCUGUCAUUCUACAAGAAAAUUUUUAUAGGUUUUAUUUGUUUUGAAUCUAAUGAGACUUCCUUUCCUACAGAUUUCCCUUCUGAUGUUUCGUAUUACUGUACUUUCCAAGGACAGAGAUGCAAUAGGCACAUAGAUUGAGGUGAAAGAAGUUGGUGUGGCAAAGUGAUGCAGAAUGGUGAAAUAAACUACCAUUAUGAAACUGAGAAUCACACUUUACAAAGUAGAAAUAAAAUCUUCUACUCACAGGCUUCGAUUCUCAUCAUGUUACAGUGGGAACUUUUAUUCCAGCGGAGUCUAUGAGUUAUGAUCAGUGUUUACAUGCUGGAAAUGAAAGAAAGUAUUGACUCCAGAGGUAUGUCUAUGAAGUUUCCUUCCGCUUUCACGGUUGGCAUCUACAGAUAAAAAAGAGAAGAAGCAGAAGGCCAAAAGUUCCUAGAAUUCCAGAUUAUCAGCUACAUCCUCAAAUGUUCACAGUCUAGCUGAUUCCUACAAUGAGAAAUGUUGGAGCUUAAUUCUUCCCAUGACAGAUUCAGUUUCUAUGUGCUGAGCAAUGAAUCAGGUGACAUACAUAUCUUAAAACUCUUAAUUGUCCUAUUUCCUGGCAAUUGUUUCACUGAUGCACUGAGCGAUGAAUCAGGUGGAGUUGAAUAUUGAGUUUAUGCAAAUGAAGAUAGAGAUGAAGCUGCUUUCUUUCCAAACGAUCAACAGUCGAUAGAAACGUUUCUUCAGCAAAACAAGACUGCUCUGUAUACAAAAUUCUAUCAAAGCAUCAUAGGCAAAGCUCUUGGAAAAAAAAGAGCUGAGACAGGUGUGAGAAUAAUUAUAAUAAAGUUUGUGGUUUUUCAACUCAGUUUGUAAGGUUGGAGAGACCGUAGCGGUUAGAAUUCUCAAAUUUUGUAAAUUAUUUUUGUUCCAUGAAUUAUUCUCGAAAUCAUACAAAACAUAUGAAUUAUAUGUUCUUCAAAUUAAAAAAAUUAUGGUAGAAAAUAAACACAAUAGCUAAAUAAAUUCAUGGAACUUGAGACCUCUGCCAGGCAAGCCCUCGAGGUAAUUUUGAUUUCACCUUUCUAAAAAUAAUUUGUAGAUGUAAUAAAAGUUCAAGUGGAUUAUAGUUUGGGGACGGUGUUAACUAUCUUAUAUCUCGGUGCUGUUAUCUUAUAUCUCUAUCACUAUGCUUUUCUUCAGGUCAUUUAGUACCAUGUUUGAGUAAGUAGACUUGAUUUUCCGGAAAUGAUGGCCGAGCACAUAAGCUAUCUAACAAAAAUAAAAGAAACCACAGAGACUAUGAAAAAAUGUAUUAAUAUAUAUAAUUAUUUUUAUAAGUAAAAUCUGAUUACUUAGAUUAUAAAAAAAAAAUGAAUUUAACAUCAAAUCAACUGUAACAAAAUA